AGCAACACUACGCGCUGGGAUCCAGCCUCGGUGAAAGGCUACCGUUACCUGCUGGUUUCACCGGUACGUCCCAGGGCUGGCCAAACACACGCGAAGGCAGAAGAAACUCCUUCUGCGUGGGUACGUCUCUAGAAAGAGCAGGCACUACUCAGUACCGUACACUUAUAAUUAUUAGACUAACACAAGCUACCAACUUCCGGAAUCCUUGAGACUUUUUUUCCCCUCCGGGCGGAAGUGAAAGGGGCUGUGUGGAUGAAUCCCGGAUUUGAGCGUAGCAGAGGCAGCACCGGCGCGCCUGCUGGUCUCCGCAGGCAAGAAAAACCAGCAGCAAAGGCUACAAUCCAAUACCCACUUAUCCGGGAGUAAGUCCCACUGAACCCAAUGGAGCUGACUUGUGAGUAGACAUUACUGGAUUGCAGCCACAGACGUUUGCUCUACCUAAAGUAGGACUUCGCGUGAAAAAAGAAGUGAUGGAACGUUAAACGCAUCUCUCACUUCCGCCCGAGGGGAGAGAGGGAAAGGAACCAAGAAGCUCCAUGUCCUUACAACAGGCUUUGAUACCACCAUAUUUUCCUAUCUCUGUGCUCAGGCCGGCACAACAAAAGCCCACAGUGUGAGCGAGCGGAAUGGCUAUGGCUAGUAAUAAUUAUUCCCUAAAGAGACGGUGAUGCAGCUGCUGUGGAGAGCCGGUGGAAGGCUGUUACUAAGCGGAGGAGGCAGGAUAACUGACCACAUGGACUGAUGGGUCUUUGAUCACUGUAGAAACAAUAUACCCCCCCGAAAACCCCAAAGACACUGAAACUCCCAAAGAAGAGGCAGUCACUUACAUAACUUCAUACAAAAACUUCAAGAAUUAUGAAACAUACUACAAAACAAAAUGUAUUACAUCAUUACAGUAUUACAUUAUCCAUAAUGAAAACAUCUUGUGAACAACUCUUUUAUUAGACUUAUUCGUAAAAGAAAUAAAACUCCAACAGUCAGCUGAAAAAGUGCCUUUGUAUUUCUUUCUUUAAGCUAUUCUUAAUUUUUUGCAUAAACUUUUCAGUUAAGGCUAGUUGCCACACUUUAUCAUAUCAGUGAGAGAUUGGCUUCCUUUAAGUUUUUCCAAAAUUUUGUAAUAAUCACUCUGACUGCCACCAAAAGAUAUCCUAUUAGUGGCCUGUUUUUUCAGUCUAUAUGAUCCUUCAAGAAUAGAUUUAACAGUGCCUGUUUCAUGGUUUUUGUGAUUGGUGGGGUAGUAGUUUUUGCUUUUUGCUCUUUCCUCAAACUGCAGGAUGUUGAUACUUUUGUGCAUGUCUAUCCUAUAUGCUGUAAGGAGACUGUCAGUGCAGCCCUUCCAGGACAUUGCUGAAGCCAGUUUUUAAAAACAAGAUGAGGGACAUUAAAUACAAUUCUUGUAAGUUUUAGCAACAGUUCUUUGAUAUUGGCUGAGAUUUGUAUGGGAACUUGUCCCACAUCGUUGCCCAUUGUUCAUCAAUUUCUAUUCCCCAACCCAUUUAUCCAAACUUGCUGUAAACCAUCUACAGAGCCUGUAUGAAAUUGAAUGAUAAAAUCUAGAUACUAGGUCCUUGUCCCUCAUAGUAAAGCCUCAAACUAUGUGUGAUCUCAGGUUGCUUGCUUUACGAUGGAAUGCUGCCUUAUCAAAUUACCAAUCUGAUACCAUAAUGGCCACAUGAUAUUACUAUUUUUAACUGAUUUCACCACGUCUCUCUAGGAACAGAUUGAGUUCCUUUGUAAACGUCUCUAAGCCUUAUAUAUGAACUAUCUUAGACACCUCACUGUUGAAUUGCUUGAGGGGUAUUUUUUCUUCUUAAACAGAUAACUGCACCCCCUGUGUUGCAAAGAACCACCAUGCCAAGAAAGUUACAUAGAAUAAUGACAAUUAUCUGAAUCCACUUCACUCUGGGUUCAGGCCUGAUUUUGGGACUGAAUCAGCCUUGGUGGCCCUGAUGGAUGACCUUUAUUGGGGGAGGGGAGUGCAGCCCUCUUACUUGAUAUCUCAACAGCUUUUGAUACCAUCAGCCAUGGUAUCCUCCUGGACUGAAUGUGUGGGACAGGUAUCAAAGGCACUGUAUUACAAAUGUUCCAUUCCUACCUGCAUGGUCAAGUCAGCAACUAGCAAUG
Long non-coding RNA from Rhineura floridana, 2124 nucleotides. RefSeq lists it as uncharacterized. The transcript is spliced from 3 exons. NCBI's taxonomy places the organism in Eukaryota, Metazoa, Chordata, Lepidosauria, Squamata, Rhineuridae. The record is from RefSeq and is a predicted model, not a curated record.